RNAcentral lists this ribosomal RNA (253 nucleotides) under uncultured bacterium. RNAcentral's name for it is "partial 16S ribosomal RNA". It matches the Rfam family "Bacterial small subunit ribosomal RNA", at positions 524 to 776 of the family's 1533-position model. The record is from RNAcentral.
UCCGGAGGGGGCGAGCGUUACCCGGAUUUACUGGGUGUAAAGGGCAUGUAGGCGGUCUCUCAAGUCCGAUGCUAAAGCCCGAAGCUCAACUUCGGGAGGGCGUUGGAUACUGUGAGGCUAGAGGGUCGGAGGGGGUAGCGGAAUUUCCGGAGUAGCGGUGAAAUGCGCAGAUACCGGGAGGAACGCCGGUAGCGAAGGCAGCUACCUGGACCAUUGGUGACGCUGAGGCGCGAAAGCGUGGGGAGAAAACCGG